This 3675-nucleotide long non-coding RNA is filed under the name Sus scrofa (pig). RNAcentral's name for it is "lncRNA (ENSSSCG00000061393.1)". The record is from RNAcentral. Lineage: Eukaryota; Metazoa; Chordata; Mammalia; Artiodactyla; Suidae.
GGGUGCCUGUAUCUUUUCAUCAAAUAUAUGGGAAGCAGGUUCAUAUUAAACCAAAAAGCAUGUCAUGAUUUUUGCCAGGACUGGGCUUUAUCAAUUGCUGCUGAGACCAUGUUGGUGACUUACACUGACCGCAGGGCUGUCUCUACUGGAGGGUCUGGUAGAGUCAUUGUCAUUUGCCUGAAUUCUUCUCCAGUUGGUGGCAACGCUCUGUCCCAGUGAAGCAUCUAAAGGGCCAGUGGGCAGCACAAGUGAGGUUGGCUCCACGGUCAAUCCCAGGCAUCUGGCUCUUUCUGCCUGCCCAGCUCCAAGGCCUGGGGGCUCCCUGAAGGUGGGUCAUGUACUCACCCAGCAACCCUUCCCCCCAGUGCUUAGAAAGGGUUGUUGAGGAUUUUCCAGCGGGUUUGCAGUUGUGGGUUAUCUUGACCUAAAUGGGUGACCCUCAUGGGACAAAGCCAGCCCUGAAGCAGGGCAGAGGUUAACAUGGGUUAGGAAAGGGGUCCCUGACACCUGCUGUCCUGGGGUGCAGUGCCCCGGCUCAGCAAGGUGGAAUGCUUUGGGUGGGUGAGUAGGACCUUGGCUCAAAGGGGACCCUAUGAGGGCCCUUUCUAUGUCACCUCCCUUUCUGUCUCAAGUCACACCAUGGUUUCUCUCCAUCUCCCCUCCCUCCCUCAUUCCUGAGCACCGCUGUGCCAGGCCUUGUGCUGGCUCCUGAGGCACCCCCCCAUUUGGGCAGCAUCUCUUAGCUCCUCCCGCGGGCAGGCACUGUUCCAUUCCGUGAGCCUGGGGAAUGGGGGCAUGGGGUGCCACUGCCCCCCCACCAGCCACUCCGAGAGUGGGUUGGAGGUGGAGAGGAGACCCAUCCAGGCAGAAGGAAAGGCCUGAGAGAGCGCGGGCCACUGGGUCUCAUGGCCAGAAAUCAGGCCAGUGUGUACAACACCCAGAGCCCAGGAGGAGAGAGAAGAUUUGGGGUCAGAUCAUGGAAAUCUUGUGGUUUUAUUCUAAGUGCAGAGGGAUGCACUCUGGGAUUGAGCAGGAGGGUGACAAAGCUUUGAUUUCUUUUUUUUUUUUUUUUUCCUGCAAGGUAGUUGUUUUAAAGAAGCCCCGUCUCAGUUGCGGAUAUAACCAGCCCUACGAGGCGGCCGCUGGUCAGUCCUCCCUCUGGGACCCAUCUUUGCACAAGGAGGCCACAGACCCGCCCCUUCCCAUCCGACAUGCCUGGGCCCCCCUGGGGAGAGGAUGCUGUUCUCCUUCGGGGGUGGCCUCUGGAGGGGCCCACCCAGCCUGCCCUCCCAUUGACCCAUCUCCUGCCCAAGUCCAUGGCGGUUGGGUCGUCUGAAUGGCCAAGAGAUGAACUCAUCGGCCACCUCCUGCAGGGCCACUGUCUGAGCGUGGCUGCUGCUUAAUCAAGGGACAAGCACGCUGUGUUCCGGGGCUGGGCUGGCCAACAUCCUUGAUGAGUAACUGGGACCGUGGAGGGGACGGGGAAGUGGCAACAAGGCCACCAUUGUUCUUUCGCUCCGGAGCCCAGAGGGCCAGGUCCGCAGGGCAGGACAGGCUGGGCUGGGCUGGCGGCCACGGCUGCUGGAUAAAGCCUCAGUCACCUCAGCAGGAGGGCGAGGGGGCGGGUCCAGCUGCCCCCGGGGGACGCCACCUCCGCAGAGUUCCCAGAGGCUCAUGAAGCCAGUAUGUCUCGUCUGCAAACCUGAGUGUCCUUUCCACAGGAGGACGGAACAUUGAUGCAGAGUGGGGGCUUUGGGUUCAUUUUUGGCAUGCGUUCAUCCAUGCAUCCAUGCAUCCAUGCAUCCAUCCAUGCUACAUUCAUCCAGCUCCUUCGAGCAUCACCUGAAAGAUGAGAACGAGCGGCCAGUGCUCACUAGACACCCUUUCCCCAUGUCAGCCUGAGAGUCUCAGAGUUCAUUGCCAUGUCUAAUCCUCGCCAUGUGCCCUGGGGUCCUGUUAGCCUCAGAGGCCUGGGGCUAAGGUGGCAGGUGUAGACUGUCUCCACCUCUGGCCUCGGGCUGGUUGCUUCAGCUCCAUGAUGUACAUUUCAGUGGGCCAUGAGAUUAGCUACAUCUUCUGGGUUUUAUUCACAGAUCUAGAAACAAAAGUACACCUAUAGAAGCAUAAAAUAACUCACCAUCCAGACUUGGUCCUGUGGAUGGGGGCAGGAAUGGCAAAGUAGGAAAUAUACUUUCUCUUCUGUGAAAUGGCCAGGGAACAGGUACCCCCCCAAAGAGCCGUAAAUAACCGUAUCACCUCAGUAAAUACCCCCGAAAUAAUGCAGGCAUAUUUUGACCAUAAUAUUGAAAAAUCAGACACAGCUAAUGAAAAAAAAUCCCAAAGAAUGUAUUUAUCUUCCUUUCUUUCUUUCUUUUCUUCUUUCUUUCAUCUUUCUUUCUUUCUUUCUUUCUUUCUUUCUUUUCUUCUUUCUUUCAUCUUUCUUUCUUUCUUUAAAAGCUCUGGCAUUGCCACAGCUCUGGCGUAGGGAGCACUUGUGGCCACAGGAUUCAGUCUCUGGCCCAGGAACUUCCAUAUGCCACAGGAGUGGCCAUAAAAAGCAAAUAAAUAAAUAAAGAUAAGGAGUUCCCACUGUGGCUCAGUGAGGAGGUGGGGUCAAUCCCUUGCCUGUGCAUGUUCCUUUAACCCGCUGCGCUGGGCCAGGGAUCAAACCGGCACCUCUGCAGUUUGACCUCUGAUUCAUAACCCUCUGGCACCACGGCCACGAAGUCCAGAAUAUAUUUGCACGUCACCCCCUUGGGACAUGUCAGGAUCUGUUAGUCCCAGAGCUGAAGCAGGGCUGCCCCGCAACCGGCGUCUUUACCGCUAGGUGCACGCACACACCCAGAGACAUGUCCGCCUGAGCUCCCGGAGCAGCGGAGCCCUGGAACUGGCAAGACCCCACAGCUUACAUCUCUUCCCAGCUCCGGUCUCAGUGACGUCCCGGCGGCAGCCGGAAGUCAGGCCUGCUGGGAGGAUUUACACCGUGGCCAUCGGCAGACACUUGCCAGAGCUUUUUUUCUGAAGGGCCCUGGUCCAGGCUCGCCAGGAUAUUACUGAUGGAAGGUCAUGAUUCGAACGCUCACGGCAGUGCCAUUGGGGAUGGUACUACCUGUUCAUCCAUAGCAGAAGCAUCAACACAUGAGAGUGAUUUUUCCUGCCCCAGAACUUUGCAGCAGGGAAAGUGGACACACGCCACCUCAUACAGUCACAUGAGUGCAUCUCACAGACACACAAUCAUACAUUUUAGGGUUCCCUUUAUAGAAAACUCAGAAACAGCCCUAACUAAUCCCUGGUGUGGGAGGUCACGACACGGCGAGCAGGGCAUGCCUGGAACGAGGCAAACGGGUCCCUGACAAGGUGGCAGUGUUCUGUUCUUACAGCUCAGCUCCAGUUACACGGCUGGGUUUCCUUGGUAAAAACUCAGCGAGCUCAUCCGUACGAUUUGAUAUGUUUUUGUAAGUAUCUAAAUCUUGAAUAAAAAGUAUACUAAAGAAAACAAGAUUUCUAAAUAAAACAAAACACAACAAACCAAACUAAGCAAUUAUCUCCCAAAUAACUCUGGGGCCAAAGAGAAAAUUAUAAAUGAGCUGGAAAAUACUAUUUGUCCUAGGUAAUGAAUCAUGGGCAUUUGUAAACUCUAGUCACAGAUUUUCAUUGCAGAGUGGUUCAGAAUAG